CUACCUUGUUUUGGACAAACUUGAACUCCAGGUCUACCGGAGAUUAGUGAAGAAAAUCCAUAUCAUCCAGAGGGAGAAGGAACCAUCUAAGGCACAUCAAAUCAAGCUAGCGGUCUCUGAACCAUUUUAGUCGAGUAGCAGUUUUGCGAAAGGUUUCCCAAAGAUACACUACUUGAUGGAGAUUUGGAUGAUCUACAAGCUGCUGAAGGUUUGCAAGAUCUACUAUUAAGUUGGUGGAGUGAUAAUGUAAUGCGCCUUGUUUGGUGAACCUGGAGACAUUGGCAAGUUCUGCUCAUUUUGGUGGUUGUUUUGGCACAUAGGCCACUAUAUGGCCAUUUUGGUUGCGUGACACAUUUAAAAACAUAUAUACUUC
This 373-nucleotide ribosomal RNA is filed under the name Triticum aestivum (bread wheat). RNAcentral's name for it is "partial small subunit ribosomal RNA". The record is from RNAcentral. Lineage: Eukaryota; Viridiplantae; Streptophyta; Magnoliopsida; Poales; Poaceae.